Molecule: long non-coding RNA, 513 nt
Filed under: Rosa chinensis
Lineage: Eukaryota; Viridiplantae; Streptophyta; Magnoliopsida; Rosales; Rosaceae
Description: sRNA RchiOBHm_Chr2g0174891
Source: RNAcentral
GGGCUCGCGAAACCGAAAACCGAAAAAAACCGCACCGAUACCCGAACCGAAGCCGAAAAAAACCGCACCGAAAAAAACCGCACCGAAAAGCCAAAAACCGCACCGCACCGAAUCUGGUCGGUUCGGUUUUCGGUUUCGGCCCGGUCGAAACCGAACCGCACCGAAAAACCGAACUCCCCAUAAUCCGGCUUUGUAUAAUGCAUAUAUAUGUGGAAAUGUGAAUCAAUAGACGGAAACCCUAAAAGCGUAAAAGAGUAAAAAACACAUUCCGCGUCCGCCUCUCUCACUCAAACAGUCAGACUAUACUUCUCUCUCUCUCUCUCAGUCUCAGAUCGCGAUUCGACCUCAGCCCCGACCCCGAGUCUCUCCCUCUCCCUCUCUCUGUGACCUCUGUCUUGAUCACGCUUCGACCUCAGUCCCCAGUGUCGGCGUGAACGACCUCUCUCUCUGACCUCUGUCACAAUUUCAUAACGUCGGUGGUCGUCGUCUCUCUCGCUACUUCGCCGGAAGUCG